UAAUACGUAGGAUGCAAGCGUUGCUCGGAAUCACUGGGCGUAAAGAGCGCGUAGGUGGUUUGGUAAGUCAGAAGUGAAAGCCCUCGGCUUAACCGGGGAACUGCUUUUGAAACUGCCAUUCUAGAGUACGGGAGAGGGAGGUAGAAUUCCUGGUGUAGCGGUGAAAUGCGUAGAUAUCAGGAAGAAUACCGGCGGCGAAGGCGGCCUCCUUGCCCGAUACUGACACUGAGGCGCGAAAGCGUGGGGAGCAAACAGGAUUAGAUACCCUGGUAGUCCACGCCCUAAACGAUGAGUACUAGGUGUGGGGGAUGUGAUGUCCUCCGUGCCGAAGCUAACGCAUUAAGUACUCCGCCUGGGAAGUACGGCCGCAAGGUUG
Molecule: ribosomal RNA, 376 nt
Filed under: uncultured delta proteobacterium
Lineage: Bacteria; Deltaproteobacteria
Description: bacterial SSU rRNA
Rfam family: Bacterial small subunit ribosomal RNA
Source: RNAcentral